Molecule: ribosomal RNA, 442 nt
Filed under: uncultured bacterium
Lineage: Bacteria
Description: partial 16S ribosomal RNA
Rfam family: Bacterial small subunit ribosomal RNA
Source: RNAcentral
CCUCCUUUCUUCCGCCGUUUUUACUAUUGUUCCCUGGGCGCCCGCCUGACCCAGCAACGCCGCGUGAAGGAAGAAGGCUUUCGGGUUGUAAACUUCUUUUGACAGGGAAGAGUAGAAGACGGUACCUGUCGAAUAAGCCACGGCUAACUACGUGCCAGCAGCCGCGGUAAUACGUAGGUGGCAAGCGUUGUCCGGAUUUACUGGGUGUAACGGGCGUGUAGCCGGGUUGACAAGUCAGAUGUGAAAUCCUGCGGCUUAACCGCAGAACUGCAUUUGAAACUGUUGAUCUUGAGUACUGGAGAGGCAGACGGAAUGCCUAGUGUAGCGGUGAAAUGCGUAGAUAUUAGGAGGAACACCAGUGGCGAAGGCGGUCUGCUGGACAGCAACUGACGGUGAGGCGCGAAAGCGUGGGGAGCAAACAGGAUUAGAUACCCGGGUAGUC